GUUGUUGUGGCCGCGUGGUUAAGGCGAUAGACUAGAAAUCCAUUGGGGUCUCACCGCGUAGGUUCAAAUCUUGCCGACAACG
RNAcentral lists this transfer RNA (82 nucleotides) under Oryzias latipes (Japanese medaka). It matches the Rfam family "tRNA". From Rfam's summary of the family: Transfer RNA (tRNA) molecules are approximately 80 nucleotides in length. Their secondary structure includes four short double-helical elements and three loops (D, anti-codon, and T loops). The record is from Rfam by way of RNAcentral. Lineage: Eukaryota; Metazoa; Chordata; Actinopteri; Beloniformes; Adrianichthyidae.